RNAcentral lists this ribosomal RNA (1176 nucleotides) under Triticum aestivum (bread wheat). Its description in RNAcentral is "partial small subunit ribosomal RNA". Lineage: Eukaryota; Viridiplantae; Streptophyta; Magnoliopsida; Poales; Poaceae. The record is from RNAcentral.
AUGUCAUAUAGGAGCAAUAACCCUGAGAUCUCAUCGUUUGCUUCUAGUAAUCAUAUGCAGGGAUUUAGGUACAAUGAGGAGAGCCACAACUAUGCACCACAACAAUUCCAUUCAGCUCCUACUCAUAUACCACAGCACCAGGAGAUGUGUCCAAUGGAGUUAAAUGGUCCUCCAUUUGGUCAACCAACAACUCCAGCACCUGUUGUGCAAUCUCAUGUGCAAGUGCCCACACAAGAUGAGUUCGAUGACAUAGACAAGCUCACACUUUUGAGUCUCGAGUUGACUUGGAGUGCCGAGGAUGAUCCUAUUAGGAAGGUUAUACUAGAGGAAAUAAAGAAGAUUAAGAGUGGAAAGGAGCUAGUGGAAGAAGUAAGGAAGAUUGAGAAGAACAUCAACGCUGGCAGCACUAUUUCUUCACAACUUGAGUUGAGUGUGGCUGAGAUAUCCAUGGAUACAUGUGAGGUUCCAACACCUUCACAUUUCGUUGAGCAAGAUAGCAAGUGCCUUGAGCAAGAGAUACGUCAGAUUGUAGAAGAUGAACUAGAAGACAAGGAACAAGAUGGUCAAGAGCUGCAAUUCCCAAGUGAUCAAGUUGAAGACUCAUCAUCUAUUACUCCUGAAGAAGUACAAGAAGCUGCUGUAGAUGAAGAUGAAGAACAUGAGAUUCAUUGGCCUAUUAUCAUACAUGAGCAUGAUGUGUCAGGUUUACUCAAUCCUCUUGAUGACAUGAUGCCUUGUGAUUUCUUUGCUACUACCUUGCAUUACAUGAUACCAUCACUUAAGAUUGAUUUGAAAAAUCAUUUACUUGGAUAUGAUGAUAUAUACCCUGUUAGUGGCAUUACUCUCAUUUGUGAUGAUCAUAGUUACUUUCCUCGUGCUAGUCCUAUGCUAAAUGAAACAUAUCAUUCCCAUGCUAGUCUUGAGCUUAAUGAUAAAUAUCAUCCUCAUGUUAGUGUUGACCUUGCUGAUUUCUACCAUCCUAAACAUGUGCUUUAUAGCUAUGCUUAUGUAAUUGGAUAUUCGAUUGAUGACUUGGAGGGUAUUAUCCCUACCACUUGCAUUGUCUCUUUGGUUGAGUGCUCUUUCAGGUUGUUGCUUGUGCACGAUCCACUACAUGCUGACCAGGUUCGAGGUGACAUUCCUUGGGAUCCUGGUGGAGUCAGAGCAUGGCGAUGA